This is a non-coding RNA of Arachis ipaensis, 513 nucleotides long. The record is from RefSeq and is a predicted model, not a curated record. Lineage: Eukaryota; Viridiplantae; Streptophyta; Magnoliopsida; Fabales; Fabaceae.
UCAGCUGCGGAGAAGACAGAAGAGAAGAAAGGAUGAAACCCUUGACACUAUUCACCUUCAACUUCAAUUACUCAUAACUUUCGAUGCAGAGCUUCGACUGACGAGUCAUUUGUGGUCACGCAUUCAUCUCGAAAUUCUCUUCAAUUCUAUCUAAACAUUUCGGAAAGCUCAAGUACAAUCUAAAGAGAGAUUUUGACCCGAUGCUGAGCGGUAAAAGUUGCUUGUUUGGAAUUGAUUUUGGCUUGGAUUGGUGCGAAGCUUUUGAAUUGGAGGAAAAUUUAUCAAGCUUGGAGGCUUGGAUUGAAGUUUGAUUCAAAUUGGUGAGGAAGGGAUUCAAGGGCUUGGAAACCACCGAUAUUGAAGUUCGAGUUUAUGUUUUGGGUAGGCAUUAUGUAAAGUUAGGUGAAUGCCUAGGUUAAUUACCCUAGGAUAGGAUUGAAUGGAAUUUGCAUAUGUUUGUGAUUAGUUGGGUGAAUGUUAAUUGUUAGUAAUUGUUAAGAAUUGUGAAUUUAA